GAGGGUAUAGCUCAGUGGUACAGCGUGUGCUUAGCAUGCACAACGUCCUGGGUUCAAGCCCCAGUACCUCCA
RNAcentral lists this transfer RNA (72 nucleotides) under Camelus bactrianus (Bactrian camel). It matches the Rfam family "tRNA". Rfam says of the family: Transfer RNA (tRNA) molecules are approximately 80 nucleotides in length. Their secondary structure includes four short double-helical elements and three loops (D, anti-codon, and T loops). Lineage: Eukaryota; Metazoa; Chordata; Mammalia; Artiodactyla; Camelidae. RNAcentral also lists the same sequence under 2 other names. The record is from Rfam by way of RNAcentral.